GCAGCCGCAGUUUCGAGCACAAAAUUAUUGAGUAACCGACCAUGUAACCAUUGAUACUUCGAAGAAUGUUAAGCAGCAUAUUAAAAUCAUCGGCAAUUCGACAGUGAGGACUGGCUCCCUACGCAGAGUGCUUAGGAUUCCCUUGUAACUAUCGGCGCAGAAGUGAGGCAAUGGUUGUAUCGCCUGAAUUGGAUAAGCAAUCUCGCCACGCAGAAAAAGAGGUUAGCAGUCACAUCAAUUUGAACAGCAGUUGCUUGCAGUUGGGGCCAAGACGAAAUGUGAGACAUCCCUUUGUCAAGAGCUGUACAUAAUCAGUUAGGAGUCAGGUGGCUCCCAUAUUCUUUGGACAAAAGAACAUAGAGGCAGCAAAGAAUUAUUUCAGAUGGUGGAAUUUGAACCAAUAGCAGAGCCUGAAGAAGAGCCAACAAGAUUUAAUCUACACUCCCCGAGACUGGCAUAUAAUGGUGGUGUGCACUAUUGUUUCUGAAGGAGUCACUGUCAAGGAAGAAAGCAGACUUGGCACCCCUCUCCAAAUUCAAAAUUCCCAAUAACAGCUGACAAUAUUUUCAAGUUGGUCAUGAAUGGCCAGUGCAAGAGCAAGCGUAUUUAAACUAGCAAGUAGUAAUACGUCUUCGCUCAACAAGACCCGAUCGUUAGAGGAGAGCCACUGCAAAUUAUAAAUGUCGCGCAAGUUCUCCAUUAUUGGUUGUCUGGCGAGUUAAAAUGAUCGUGCAGUACAUUUGGCAAUCAUGCCACCAUGCUGCAGACCGUUAGUUCUACUCUCCAUUGCCUGCCAUUGUCAUGGAUCUUGAUUGGACCAGGAUUAUUGAACGAUCGUCAAGACGUCAGUGAAAGCGACUAUACCAACCUGACCAUGUUAUCUCAAUCAUGGUUGCUUGCAUAUGCCCCCUUGUUUUACACUUGAAUGUGAGGAGCAAAAAUGGUGAACAAGAAAGGAAGAAGAAUUAUGAACUAGAAGGUAUAUUAACUACAUACUGCGCAUUGCACCAAAGGCAAAAUUCCAUCGUCACGGUCAUCUUGCUGGUGCAUAAUCUUUUAGGUGGUUCCCUUAUUCUUCAAUCAACUAGCUGGAGCGGAUGCUGGCUGGUGACGAUCAGCCAAGAAGCAACAAUAAUCACCUCAGCCGUGAGCAGGAGAAAACAGAAAGGUCAUGUCCAUCCUUUCAUUGCUCUAGGAAAGUGCAGCUCCCGUGACAGAUUUGGUUAUUAAAUUCAUGCUGUUGGCCACCCACAUCUUUUAAAACGUAUCAAACGACACCGUGGUUAACUCCUGGAUAUUCACAAAUUUUUUUGAAAAUCAAAUUUUGCUUUAUUCGACAAGUUUUAAACGUUCCGAAAGAGAAUCCAUAGUUUCAAGUGAAGAACUGGCCGGAUGUCAAGUCUUGCACCAACUCUGCAGCUUGCAAAGAUCUGGAAGUCCUUUCAUCAAAUACGGCUAAGAAACACAUCAGUGAAAAAUUCCAUCUUCACGCGUUAAUGGUCUGCGACGUUAUGGUGUUAGUCAACGCGGAUGUAUUAAGAGCUGGGCCCUUGCGAAUCUUCUCUCAUACCUAGGGUAAUUUUGGAAUUGUCUUUUUUUUGUUAUGGUAAGAGUACCAUGUAUACUUUUAUGGUUAUUUUUUGCGGUAAUUGCAUCUCGUCAUUAUUUAUGUGAUUUAUCCCCUCCCCCAUUUGUCACAUUUUUUCGGAAUUAUUUUAACAUUCCUUUUUGAAAGAGAAACAAAAAGGUUUGCAUUCAGGUUUUGCCAUAUCAUACCAGCCUAUUACAGCAGUAAUCAAUGUUCGAGUACAGCGACGUACAAGAUUGUCGCACAAAUUACGAUGGCAAUCUAUCUCUGAAUUGUUUAUCUCAAGUUGAAGACUUGAAGAGCCCUCGCCUACUCGCGCCUACUAUACUGCUGGGAAAUUGUCAUACAACUUUCAAGUGGUUAAAAUUAUGGCCAGUAGAUGGCGCGCGUGUUUUCGUCUGAAAUGAAAACCCGCCAUUGGUUUUCGAGACACUUUACGAAAACGUGAAACUUUGAUAUUGAUCAUGAUCAGUAGUAUUUUUUUUUUUAAUAAGUAGGAAUAAGAGCCAGGUUAAGUCUGCGCUUCUUUGUUGCAGUCUAAUGUGCACAUCGAUUGGUUGCUGUCAUCCAGUGAAAGGUGUGAUUUAAUUGAGCUGUUGCAUGCAGUCUUUGGUGCUGAUGUUGUCCUUGGAGUGUGGGAGAGUUCCAUGCUUCAAGUCUUCUGGGAUCAGCCAUAUCUGAGUUGACGCUAGAUCAUGCUGCAUUGUGGUUGCCAAAAUGUUGGACAUACAGUAGAACUGCAAGAUAACUCCUUGA
Molecule: long non-coding RNA, 2344 nt
Filed under: Daphnia pulicaria
Lineage: Eukaryota; Metazoa; Arthropoda; Branchiopoda; Diplostraca; Daphniidae
Description: uncharacterized LOC124341489, transcript variant X8
Source: RNAcentral